This 264-nucleotide ribosomal RNA is filed under the name uncultured archaeon. Its description in RNAcentral is "partial 16S ribosomal RNA". It matches the Rfam family "Archaeal small subunit ribosomal RNA", at positions 715 to 982 of the family's 1478-position model. The record is from RNAcentral.
AGUCACUGACAUUAGAUACCCGCGUAGUCCUAGGCGUAAAUGAUGCGAGUUAAGUGUGGGGGCAUCUACGAGAUGGCCCUGUGCUGUAGGGUAGCCGUUAAACUCGCUGCCGUGGGAGUACGGUCGCAAGGCUGAAACUUAAAGGAAUUGGCGGGGAGCACCACAACGGGUGGAGCCUGCGGUUUAAUCGGACUCAACGCCGGGAAUCUCACCGGAUAAGACAGCUGAAUGAUAGUCGGGAUGAAGACUCUACUUGACUAGCUG